RNAcentral lists this non-coding RNA (169 nucleotides) under Ditylum brightwellii. Lineage: Eukaryota; Bacillariophyta; Thalassiosirophyceae; Lithodesmiales; Lithodesmiaceae. The record is from RNAcentral.
UUUCCCGAAACACAUUCAGAGACACACCCGCCUUAUGAGGCUACAUUCAUCAAAGCUAGGGUCUUGUUUCCGUGUUGGAUAUGCAUUUAUCAAAUGCUGCAUCCAAAACAUUUUUUUUAAAAGAAAAAAAACAGAAAGUCAUGGUGCGUUUGCAUGUACUCAUAGACAU